AACGAACGCUGGCGGCAGGCCUAACACAUGCAAGUCGAACGCCCGUAGCAAUACGGGGAGUGGCAGACGGGUGAGUAACGCGUGGGAACGUGCCCUUCGGUUCGGAAUAACUCAGGGAAACUUGAGCUAAAUACCGGAUACGUCCGUAAGGAGAAAGAUUUAUCGCCGAAGGAUCGGCCCGCGUCGGAUUAGCUAGUUGGUGAGGUAACGGCCCACCAAGGCGACGAUCCGUAGCUGGUCUGAGAGGAUGAUCAGCCACACUGGGACUGAGACACGGCCCAGACUCCUACGGAGGCAGCAGUGGGGAAUAUUGGACAAUGGGCGAAAGCCUGAUCCAGCCAUGCCGCGUGAGUGAAGAAGGCCGUUAGGGUUG
Molecule: ribosomal RNA, 373 nt
Filed under: uncultured bacterium
Lineage: Bacteria
Description: bacterial SSU rRNA
Rfam family: Bacterial small subunit ribosomal RNA
Source: RNAcentral